AGGAACAUGGAUGGGAGAAGGGAAGGAGAGGGAAAAAAGUGGGGGCAGGAUCAAGUAUGAGAAGAGACAGGAGAGAAGUCCAGAGUGCCAGGAGAAUGAAUAGAAAUACAGUGGGAGUGGGAGGUUGGGGACCAGGGUGAGGGAACCACUAGGAAGUCCCAGACGCCAGGGAUGCAAGAGGCUCCCAGGACUCAGUGGGGAUGACAUUAGCUGAAAUACCCACCUGAAGGGAGAUAGAACCUGAAGAGACCACCUCCAGUAGAUAACAUGGCCCCCACUGGAGAGAUGGGGCCACCCACCCAUCUCAAAAAUUUUAACCCAGAAUUGUUCCUGUCUAAAGGAAAUGCAGGGACAAAAAUGGAGCAGAGACUGAAGGAAAGGCCAUCCAGAGACUGUCCCACCUUGGGAUCCAUUCCAUCUGCAGACACCAAACCCUGACACUAUUGCUAAUGCCAAGAAGUGCCUGCUGACAGGAGCCUGAUAUAGAGGCUCUGCCUGCACCUGACUAAUACAGAUGCAGAUAAUCACAGCCAAUCAUUACUGAGCCUGGGGACCCCAAUGGAGGAAUUAGGGGAAGGACUAAAGAUACAGAAAGGGAUUGCAACCUCAUAGGAAGAACAAUAUCAACUAACCACACCCUUCAGAGCUCCCAGGGACUAAACCACCAACCAAAGAGUAUACAUGGGUUGGUCCAUGGCUCCCACUACAUAUGUAGCAGAGGAUUGCCUCAUCUGACAUCAGUGGGAGGGGAGACACUUAGUUCUGUUGAAACCUGUUACAGCAGUGAAGGAAGAUGCUAGUGGCGUGAGGCUGGAGUGGGUGGGUGCGUAGCGGUGCAUCCUCUUAGAAGCAAAAGGGAGGGGAAAUGGGAUGGGGAGUUUCCAGUGGGGAGACAAGGAAGGGGACAACAUUUGAAAUGUAAAUAAAUAAAAUCAUCAAUAAUUUUAGCCGAGCAGUGGUGGUGCACCCCUUUAAUCCCAGCACUUGGGAAGCAGAGGCAGGCAGAUUUCUGAGUUCGAGCCCAGCCUGGUCUACAGAGUGAGUUCCAGGACAGCCAGGGCUACACAGAGAAACCCUGUCUCAAAAAAAAAAAAAAAUAUAUAUAUAUAUAUAUAAAAAAUGGGGAUAUUCCUUGAUUUGUUACUCACCUUUUUCUUUCCCUAGAGUAGCCAACACAGAUGGGGAGUGAAACAAGAGAAACCAGAGCAGAUGAAUUCUGUUAUUCUGUUAUUAUGUUUGGCCUUGAAUUAAUAAUUAGUGAUAAGGCACAUCUGGAAUAUUCCCAAAGCAUUCAUCCUUUAGAAGUUCCUACGUGCUCUGAUUUUAUGAAAGCCAAAUUGAGUAUCUUUAGCAACUUCCAAGGCCAUGCAGUUAAGUCUUCCUGAAAUGGAAAUGAGAAGAAAAAAAAUCUACAGGUAUCUCCACACAUGGCACCGCAGCAGUCCUCCAGAAAGGGCAGCCAGCAGGUCCUUUGCUCUGUGGCUCCUUUCUUCUCUAAGGCUAUUGAGGACUAAAUCCUGUGCAGUUGCAUAUCAGCUGAAGGGAAAUCCAUGGUUGUUUAUACCUACGUUCUGGUGUUUAAGGAGGGG
Molecule: long non-coding RNA, 1589 nt
Filed under: Mus musculus (house mouse)
Lineage: Eukaryota; Metazoa; Chordata; Mammalia; Rodentia; Muridae
Description: long non-coding RNA chr14:59468383-59469972
Source: RNAcentral